Molecule: ribosomal RNA, 634 nt
Filed under: uncultured Pseudomonadota bacterium
Lineage: Bacteria; Pseudomonadati; Pseudomonadota
Description: bacterial SSU rRNA
Rfam family: Bacterial small subunit ribosomal RNA
Source: RNAcentral
AACAGGAAGAAGCUUGCUUCUUUGCUGACGAGUGGCGGACGGGUGAGUAAUGUCUGGGAAACUGCCUGAUGGAGGGGGAUAACUACUGGAAACGGUAGCUAAUACCGCAUAACGUCGCAAGACCAAAGAGGGGGACCUUCGGGCCUCUUGCCAUCGGAUGUGCCCAGAUGGGAUUAGCUAGUAGGUGGGGUAACGGCUCACCUAGGCGACGAUCCCUAGCUGGUCUGAGAGGAUGACCAGCCACACUGGAACUGAGACACGGUCCAGACUCCUACGGGAGGCAGCAGUGGGGAAUAUUGCACAAUGGGCGCAAGCCUGAUGCAGCCAUGCCGCGUGUAUGAAGAAGGCCUUCGGGUUGUAAAGUACUUUCAGCGGGGAGGAAGGGAGUAAAGUUAAUACCUUUGCUCAUUGACGUUACCCGCAGAAGAAGCACCGGCUAACUCCGUGCCAGCAGCCGCGGUAAUACGGAGGGUGCAAGCGUUAAUCGGAAUUACUGGGCGUAAAGCGCACGCAGGCGGUUUGUUAAGUCAGAUGUGAAAUCCCCGGGCUCAACCUGGGAACUGCAUCUGAUACUGGCAAGCUUGAGUCUCGUAGAGGGGGGUAGAAUUCCAGGUGUAGCGGUGAAAUGCGUAGA